AUCGGGUACGGAGACAUUACACCCCAUACAUAUCUUGGAAGGCUCAUUGGUUCGAUUUGUGCUCUCGCCGGUGUGCUCACAAUUGCGUUGCCCGUGCCGGUGAGAAUUUUCGGG
This 114-nucleotide small RNA is filed under the name Caenorhabditis japonica. Its description in RNAcentral is "sRNA CJA48947". Lineage: Eukaryota; Metazoa; Nematoda; Chromadorea; Rhabditida; Rhabditidae. The record is from RNAcentral.